UCAUUGUAUAAUUACAAAGCCAUCCACCGCUGCAAUGUUACCACUGCAUUCAAGUAUUUAUACUACUUAGAAGGUGCUAGAACCACUAUAAGUACUAGCAUGAAUUACAGAAAUAGCUUCAAUUUGUUCUACUGGUUGUUCUUCGGGUGCAACCUCCAUCAGGUGACAGUUUAGCUGGGCUUAAUUCCUCUCCCGCUGAUGGCCAUGUCCAAGGCAGAUAGAAGGAUGGGGGAGAGUUCUUCUAUAGAUAUUGAGAAUCUCAGAGGAAAGCUUCCUCCGAGCUUGAAUCCAUUCUCAACUUCUUGUAUUUACA
Molecule: long non-coding RNA, 313 nt
Organism: Macadamia integrifolia
Lineage: Eukaryota; Viridiplantae; Streptophyta; Magnoliopsida; Proteales; Proteaceae
Exons: 3
Source: RefSeq, a predicted model, not a curated record